Homo sapiens (human) is the source of this 573-nucleotide long non-coding RNA. Ensembl annotates it as long intergenic non-protein coding RNA 412. Lineage: Eukaryota; Metazoa; Chordata; Mammalia; Primates; Hominidae. The record is from Ensembl.
CUUUGCGUCACCGCCUUCGCCGGAAGCUGCCUUGUAUCCGCGUCUCCGCAGGGAAAACUGCGGCUGGCGGAUCUGGCUCUGUCACCCAGGCUGGAGUGCAGUGGUGCUGUGUCCGGAAUUGGUGGGUUCUUGGUCUCACUGACUUCAAGAAUGAAGCCACGGACCCUUGCCAUGAGUGUUACUGUUCUUAAAGAUGGUGUGUCUGGAGUUUGUUCCUUCAGAUGUUCAGAUGUGUCUGGAGUUUUUUCCUUCUGGUGGGUUCGUGGUCUUGCUGACUUCAGGAGUGAAGCUGCAGACCUUCGCGUGAUGGAGGUUGAGAAGUCCAACUUCAAGGCACCACAUCUGGUGAGAGCCUUCAUUCCGAUGACAGCCUUCAUGCUGCAACCUGCAGCAGGAAAAUGGGCUUCAGUUUUCAAGUCUGCAGCUGAGUUGGGAAGUUGCGGACAGUAACCAGAUGGCGUCUCACUCUGUCACCCAGGCUGGAGUGCAGUGGCUCGAUCUUGUUUCACUGCAACCUCUGUCUCCCAGGUUCAAGCGAUUCUUCUGCCUCAGCCUCUCAGGUAGCUGGGACUA